Molecule: non-coding RNA, 23 nt
Filed under: Arabidopsis thaliana (thale cress)
Lineage: Eukaryota; Viridiplantae; Streptophyta; Magnoliopsida; Brassicales; Brassicaceae
Source: RNAcentral
UGAUUGGUGAUCUUGUGAUUGGU